UUACAACAACAACGACAACCACUGAUCGACUCCAACGUGGGCUCUAGCUCGCUUUUCAUCUUUUAUCCUUCUCCUUUGUGCCUUUCAAACUAGCAUAACGUACCCGCUCAUUUUCUUUUGUGUGUGUGUGUGUCUCUGCGUGGUUAUCUGCUUUUCUGGGCGUUGGUGUCUGUCUAAAUUCUUGUUUUCCUUCUAAGCGACCUCAUCAUUCACCCGUGUGCUGCACGCGGUGCUGUCCAACGAGCCGCACAAGCCCUCAGCAGAAGAGGCGUGCACCUUGCCGCUGGCGGUCGGUAUCAGAGGAGCGAUACACACGCACACAUCCAUCCACACACCGAAAAGCCCUUCUCUGCUCCUUCUCUCCUCCGCAUACACUUCCACCUUGCUGGUGCCCACGCCUACUAUUUGUUUCUGCGUAUAUGCGUGCCGGACUACCUCUGGCAUACACGCGUUUUACCUGUUUUGUUUUUUGUUGUUGUUCUUCUCCCUUUGAACUGUUUCAACUCUCUACUGACACAACCCACGCCGGACACCCUCCCCACCGUCCCCACUCUCCCCCUCUCUAUAUUUCUUACAUGUAGUCGUUCUGUCAAUCAACCCUAAACGAAAACAAGGACGAGCCCUCCUCUCCCACCUCUGUACAUAUAGACGUGAGCGUUUGUGUGUACGUGCAUUGGUUUUCCUCGUGCACGUGCCUCCUUGGGUGCAGCCAGCCCUCUUCCCCACCCCCACCACCUCUGUCUCCCUCACUCUCUUUCUUUGCGUGUCUGUGUUGUGUGCUGACAGCUUUUGCCAGCUGUACGUUUGCCUCUUCUUAAUCCUGUUUUUUUUUGCAUUUUGUUUUUGUCCUCCUCCACCCUCCCUCCCUUCUGCGGGCGUUCUUCGGCUGUUUUCGUGUGGCUCGCGCUUUUCCUACCCCGCCUUCCACAACAUACGAGCUUUCGCUGUCCACCUCUCGCGGUCGCCGUUUUGGUGUCACCGCUCCCCUUGGACUUGCUCGCUGUUCGAAGUCCUUUUGUCGCAGCCUUGUCCCUCAUUCAAGGAAGUCUGAGUGCGUGUGUCCGUCCGCACGACGCUUGCGGCCGCCGUCCUUUACGUGCCAGGCUGUACGCCGACACCCAAUCCACUUUGCCGCUGAUCUGACCACUACUCUGCAUUUCUGUUUCUCUCUGUUCUCUCUGGGCUCUCGCCUAAUUCUUCUCCAG
RNAcentral lists this unclassified non-coding RNA (1205 nucleotides) under Leishmania donovani. RNAcentral describes it as "gene:unknown". Lineage: Eukaryota; Euglenozoa; Kinetoplastea; Trypanosomatida; Trypanosomatidae. The record is from RNAcentral.